RNAcentral lists this transfer RNA (76 nucleotides) under Rhodospirillaceae bacterium. RNAcentral's name for it is "tRNA-Thr". It matches the Rfam family "tRNA". Rfam says of the family: Transfer RNA (tRNA) molecules are approximately 80 nucleotides in length. Their secondary structure includes four short double-helical elements and three loops (D, anti-codon, and T loops). Further hydrogen bonds mediate the characteristic L-shaped molecular structure. tRNAs have two regions of fundamental functional importance: the anti-codon, which is responsible for specific mRNA codon recognition, and the 3' end, to which the tRNAs corresponding amino acid is attached (by aminoacyl-tRNA synthetases). tRNAs cope with the degeneracy of the genetic code in two manners: having more than one tRNA (with a specific anti-codon) for a particular amino acid; and 'wobble' base-pairing, i.e. permitting non-standard base-pairing at the 3rd anti-codon position. RNAcentral also lists the same sequence under 1 other name. The record is from RNAcentral. Lineage: Bacteria; Pseudomonadati; Pseudomonadota; Alphaproteobacteria; Rhodospirillales; Rhodospirillaceae.
GCCGGCUUAGCUCAUUUGGUAGAGCAGUUGAUUUGUAAUCAUCAGGUAGCCAGUUCGAUUCCGGCAGCCGGCACCA